This 74-nucleotide microRNA precursor is filed under the name Lemur catta (Ring-tailed lemur). RNAcentral describes it as "microRNA lca-mir-16 precursor". Its record names the gene lca-mir-16. It matches the Rfam family "mir-16 microRNA precursor family", at positions 1 to 70 of the family's 82-position model. From Rfam's summary of the family: The hairpin precursors (represented here) are predicted based on base pairing and cross-species conservation -- their extents are not known. The record is from miRBase by way of RNAcentral. Lineage: Eukaryota; Metazoa; Chordata; Mammalia; Primates; Lemuridae.
GUCAGCAGUGCCUUAGCAGCACGUAAAUAUUGGUGUUAAGAUUCUAAAAUUAUCUCUAAGUAUUAACUGUGCCG